CACCCCAGGAAUUGGACAGAGAAUUCUACAGUUGCCUUCGGUCUAGAUCGUGGUGAGCCGAACAGCUCUCUGACAGACGCAGAUACUCACCUGCUUUGAUCACUGACUGUGCCCAGAAAAGUGCCUGGCUCCUAAUGCAACUGAAUAUGUAUUUGUGGAAUAAAUGAGUGUUUAUUUUAGAAAAAUCACUCUAGUAACAAUUUGGAAAAUAGACUUGAAGGGAAGAAAUCCGUGCUUUUAGAAAGUUCUCUCUGGCUAGAUGGUGCAGUGUGGAUUGGACACAGAAACCCCACAGUCUCUUGGAACACCAAACCCUGCAGGCUGUUCGAUGAGGUGAAUUCCACAUGAUUAUAGCCUAGAAGUGGCUUGGAAGCUUUCUUCACUGAGUCCGACAGACUCAGGAUCUCAUGAAUGCAGCCUCUACUGGAAGACGUUGCACAAACGCAAUGUUCCUUGGGUGCUGAAUGUAUGUGAAUUUAUGGCGCAUGUAGUUUGCAUUUUCCUAUUAAACGGGGAACAUGUAAACAGGGCAGGUCUUCACUCAAAAAAUUAUGAGACUUGCUCCAGUUUCUCCCUAACUAGAGCGUAAUUUUCUGGAAGUCAGGGCCACCUUGUGUCUCCAGAGACCAGAGGAGAGCUGAACUGAAGAGUCUGAGACAGAGCUGCAGCAAAGCCUCAGGAGCUUCCUCAGUUCUGCGCUUUUAUUAGAGAGCAAACAGCGACCACCGUGUGGGCGGAGCAGGUCAGCUGGGACUACAUCCAAAGGAAUGGCUCUGCUGCUCAAGACGUUACCAGAAUCCUAAGGUGCUGAGGGGAGGUUUCAGCAUGACUAAAAUUCGGAAAUUGCUGAGUUCAUGCAGAAGAAUGAAGACUCAAGUCCACAGGUCCAGGGCUAGCAAGAGACGAAGCCAGGGGUAGGGUCAAUGGCUUCAUAGCUGUGAGACCACUGAUACGUGCUCUUCCUUUGAAGGACGUCUUCAGCCUCAGCUGCUUUUAUCUUUUAGGUUUCUAUGGCGCA
Molecule: long non-coding RNA, 1018 nt
Filed under: Equus asinus (donkey)
Lineage: Eukaryota; Metazoa; Chordata; Mammalia; Perissodactyla; Equidae
Description: lncRNA (ENSEASG00005035731.1)
Source: RNAcentral